Carya illinoinensis is the source of this 1833-nucleotide long non-coding RNA. RefSeq lists it as uncharacterized. The transcript has 2 exons. The record is from RefSeq and is a predicted model, not a curated record. Lineage: Eukaryota; Viridiplantae; Streptophyta; Magnoliopsida; Fagales; Juglandaceae.
UCAAAUAUUAGUUACUCUUUAAGACUAUUCCUUUGUUUGCUUUACAGCAAGGAGGCCAAUAAUGCUUGAUAUCAUGGGCAAGCUUUUACUCUCAAAAGAAGGUGAAAUUUGGCCAGAAUGAUUUUAAAGCUUGCGUGCUGAAUGACUGACCCCAUUGCCAAACAAAAUUCAGUCCCAUCAUUCCAUCACAAGUAAGUUGGCACGUAGAAAAUUCACCUAGUAAAGAGGUCUACAACUGCUAGCCAAGAAUGGGUAAGCCGUUCUAUCCUCUCUCUAGGUAAAAGAAAUUAGGUAACCGUCCGAGGGAGGUGGAGCUUCGGCUCCUCCCUCCCUCCCCCCCAACCUUUUCUGUUUUCAUUUCUGUUUUUCAAUGCUUUUCUUCCUGAAAUAAGAUCGGCUCCAGAGGCCUCCACCAGAGGCUGUGACCCGAGACCUUUACUUCUUUUUUUACACCCAGCUGGGCGGAGAGGUUUUCUUUUGGGGUGGAGGUUCUCGGUUUCGUUUUUGGGCGAGAUCCCUGACUGUUUUGUAUAGUCUUCUGUGGGAUGUUCCUCAGAGGGUUACAACCUGAGUUUGAAUCGGGUGACUUGCUCCUGGAGAUGAUGUUUUUGCUUGUUGGCUUGGGGUGCUUCCCGCUGGGUUAAGGAUCUCUGUUUUAUCCAUGGAAAACAGAGGGUUGGUUUUCGGGUUGUAAGCCGAGCUGCAUGGAGGUUUUAAAGGGGUUGGGGUGGAGUCCGGAUGCUUCUCAUGGUGGUUACUCUUUUGGUUGGUGGCGGAAACCGGGUGUCGCAGUGUUAGAUGGUUUUUCUAAGUUCUUCUUUAUUUGCGUUUUUGGUUGUUAGAUCUGUUUAGAUCUGGUGUUUUGAUUGGGGGUUGGGAAUAAGCCUCGGUUUUUUCGUCUCUGUGUGGUUUUGGAUUUGGCUCUGUGUCCGUUUAGUCUAGCUGAAGUAUUUUGGUGGUUGUGGCCAGGCGACGGAGACGGUGAUGUAAUCCUUGUGCAGGGAGUACGCCGCAUCCUCCACGGAGCGGCAAAAGAACUUUCUGUCGAAACCUGUAGGGAUGAAGGGCUGAGCAGGAGCCGGGCGGGGGAAGGAUGCAGAGGCUUGUGGGGAGGAAGAUGGGCGGCGGUGGCUUGUGUUGAGAUGAAACCCUAAUAGGGUUGGGCCCCCAUGGUCCUACGGGCUGGAUCUUUAGCUCGGGUAGGGCCUUUAGUUCAGGUUGGGCCUUUAGUUCAGGUUGGGCCUUUUUGUUUUUCCAGCCCCUUAGUUUUAUUUUGUAGUAAAUCUGCUUUAGUUUUUUAUAAAUAAUAAAAUAGGCUUCUGUCCCACUCCUCUUUUGGAGGAAUGUGGGUGUUUGUCCUACUCCUCUUUUGGAGGAAGGUAGGUGUUAGUACUCUUCCUCUUUGGGAGGUGAGAGUUUGGUUAUUCUCUUUCUCCUUGGGAGGAUGGAGCGGUGUGUACCUUUCUUUUUCGGAAGGAAGGUUGUUUCAGCUCUGGUUUUGACAGAGCGCUUUCUCUUUUGACUGUUGUCAGGAGAGAAGGUGUAGAAGUUUAGACAAUGUCCGUCACAAAGAAAUUUGUUGAUGGGGAAGCUCCUGAGCAGUUGCGUUAGUUGACUUAUAGUUUGGUUCUCCUGUAUUGAUAAGUCACAGUUGUAACUUCGAUUAUGAAUGAAUGCAGAUGCAUUUUCCCAUAAAAAAAAAAAAAAGUAAGUUGGCACGCACAUGUACGUAGAGUCAGCAUCCAACCAAUUUUAAGUACUGUGCUUAAAAGACGCUGGUCACCUCUGUUCCCUUUGAUAAUUAUGGAAGUUGGUGAAUUGGAAUUGUAACGA